Molecule: unclassified non-coding RNA, 386 nt
Filed under: uncultured Gemmatimonadaceae bacterium
Lineage: Bacteria; Pseudomonadati; Gemmatimonadota; Gemmatimonadia; Gemmatimonadales; Gemmatimonadaceae
Description: contains 16S-23S intergenic spacer region
Source: RNAcentral
UCCGGUUUGGCACCGGCAGUCUUCCUAGGGUCCCCGCCAUUACGCGCUGGCAACUAAGAACAGGAGUUGCGCUCGUUGCGGGACUUAACCCAACAUCUCACGACACGAGCUGACGACAGCCAUGCAGCACCUCUACAGGCAACCGACUUUACGGUUCGCCCCCCGUUUCCGGGGAACUACUACCUGCACUUCAAGCCCAGGUAAGGUUCUUCGCGUUGCGUCGAAUUAAACCACAUGCUCCACCGCUUGUGCGGGCCCCCGUCAAUUCCUUUGAGUUUCAGCCUUGCGGCCGUACUCCCCAGGCGGGGCACUUACUGCGUUAGCGACGGCACCGGGAGGGUCGCUCCCCCCGACGCCUAGUGCCCAUCGUUUACGGCGUGGACUAC